This 253-nucleotide ribosomal RNA is filed under the name uncultured bacterium. RNAcentral's name for it is "partial 16S ribosomal RNA". It matches the Rfam family "Bacterial small subunit ribosomal RNA", at positions 524 to 776 of the family's 1533-position model. The record is from RNAcentral.
GACGUAGGGACCGAGCGUUGUCCGGAGUUAUUGGGCGUAAAGCGCGCGCAGGUGGCCGCGUUAGCCUGGCGUGAAAGCCCCCGGCUCAACCGGGGAGAGUCGUCGGGGACGGCGCGGCUUGAGGGCGACAGGGGUCGGUGGAAUGCCCGGUGUAGUGGUGAAAUGCGUAGAGAUCGGGCGGAACACCCGUGGCGAAGGCGGCCGGCUGGGUCGCAGCUGACACUGAGGCGCGAAGGCGUGGGGAGCGAACGGG